UACAGACGUUUGACUCGCCAGUGCGAGUAAUUUUGUAUCUGGGUUUUGGUGUAUGUAUAUGGAACUCGAUUUGUUUCUGUUACUGGUUCUUCUAGCAGCUCUAUACUACUGUUUGUAGUAUUGUAUAUUUUACAGGUACAGCUAUCGCUUCGUAUACAGGGAAAAUUUUUUUUGUAUACGGCGGAUUUGUCAGCGUGCCCGGGGAACGUGUAAUCUGGGUCAUGA
RNAcentral lists this long non-coding RNA (225 nucleotides) under Ananas comosus (pineapple). RNAcentral's name for it is "long non-coding RNA (ACOM_LNC041927)". The record is from RNAcentral. Lineage: Eukaryota; Viridiplantae; Streptophyta; Magnoliopsida; Poales; Bromeliaceae.